This 780-nucleotide non-coding RNA is filed under the name Epanerchodus koreanus. Lineage: Eukaryota; Metazoa; Arthropoda; Diplopoda; Polydesmida; Polydesmidae. The record is from RNAcentral.
CAAUUUAUUGAGAUAAUAAAUUAAAAUAUUAAUUUAAAAUAAGUAUAAAUAUUUGAUUAUGGUAAUAAAAUUUUAAUAAAAUUAUAUUAUAUAAUUUGAUUUUAAAAUAUUUAUGAUUAGUAGACAAUAUUGAUAAAAUGUUAGUAGCAACAGAUCAGUUUAGGUUAUAAGCUAAUGUUGUGCCAGCAGCUGCGGUUAUACAGCUUAAUGAUAAAAUUUUAGUGGUAAAAAUAAGAUAUUGAAAUAUUAAAUGAGUGGACUUUUAAAAUUUCGGUAGAAUGUAAUUUUUGGUAAGAGAUUUUUAUUAGAUACUUUUAUUUAACAUUAUAAACUAGGAUUAGAUACCCUAUUAUAUGUAGAUAUAAGAAGUGACCGGAGUAUUAGAAUGAAGAUUAUUUGUUUUAAAUGAAAAUGAUUUGGCGGUAUUUUAUUUCUAAUUAGAGGGGUCUGAUUUAUAAAUCGAUAGUCCACGAUAUUAGUAUACUUUAUUUUAGGGUUUGUAUAUCUCCGUUAUUUAAGAGUUUUUAUAGAAAUUUUUAAAAAAAGAUUAGACAGGUCAAGGUGCAGCUUAUAAUGAAGGUGAGGUUGGGCUACAAUUUAUUAAUUUAUACGAAUAAUAGAUUUGAAAUAUUUGUUUGAAGGUGGAUUUAAUAGUAAUAAAUUUUAGAUUAGAGUUGGUGAAGAAUGUGAUGAAAUAUGCACAUAUCGCCCGUCGCUCUUAGUUUAUGUUAAGAUAAGUCGUAACAUAGUUGAUUUAUUGGAAGAUGAAUCUUUAGUUUU